GACGAACGCUGGCGGCGUGCCUAAUACAUGCAAGUAGAACGCUGAAGAGAGGAGCUUGCUCUUCUUGGAUGAGUUGCGAACGGGUGAGUAACGCGUAGGUAACCUGCCUUGUAGCGGGGGAUAACUAUUGGAAACGAUAGCUAAUACCGCAUAACAAUGGAUGACACAUGUCAUUUAUUUGAAAGGGGCAAUUGCUCCACUACAAGAUGGACCUGCGUUGUAUUAGCUAGUAGGUGAGGUAAUGGCUCACCUAGGCGAAGAUACAUAGCCGACCUGAGAGGGUGCUCGGCCACCCUGGGACUGAGACACGGCCCAGACUCCUACGGGAGGCAGCAGUAGGGAAUCUUCGGCCAUGGGGGCAACCCUGACCGAGCAACGCCGCGUGAGUGGAGAAGGUUUUCGGAUCGUAAAGCUCUGUUGUAAGUCAAGAACGGGUGUGAGAGUGGAAAGUUCACACUGUGACGUUAGCUUACCAGAAAGGGACGGCUAACUACGUG
This 497-nucleotide ribosomal RNA is filed under the name uncultured bacterium. RNAcentral describes it as "partial 16S ribosomal RNA". It matches the Rfam family "Bacterial small subunit ribosomal RNA", at positions 28 to 507 of the family's 1533-position model. The record is from RNAcentral.